Molecule: long non-coding RNA, 1057 nt
Organism: Dermacentor albipictus
Lineage: Eukaryota; Metazoa; Arthropoda; Arachnida; Ixodida; Ixodidae
Source: RefSeq, a predicted model, not a curated record
GCGAACGCACUCGUGUACUCUGAUUUAGGUGCCCGCUAAAACACACCAGGUGGUCAAAAUCUCCCUCCACUACGGCAAGUCUCGUGAUCAGGUCGUGGUUUCGACCCUAGCGCACGUAAAACCCCGAUUUUAUUUUUAAGCGUAGAACACUUUCAAAGAAAGUACGUAUUACAAUACGAUACGCAAAACACUUGGUGAAACCGCAACAUAUUGAUCGAUCACGCUUAAGACAAGUAGCAAUUUAAAAUUUCCCGGGCAGUUGACGCCACAUGGACGCCGGUACAGCCGGACACUAUUGCCUAUACAUAUAUUUCGAAUGCUACGACCGCUUGCACCAGUCUACGUGGACUUUUACAUUUACCAACGGCUAUUCGAACUGCGAACAGAACAGAAGGAUGCACACAUGCAGGAACAGGCGUCAUCCUACAACGCAACGAGAAAGCAAACAAAACAAAUGCAUCUGCGCGCCAAUUGCAAACUCCUGCGGCAACACUACUCUUUGACUGUGGCGUGUAUGUGAAGAUCGAACACUAAAAGCUGUUAACUGGGAUACAUUGGAGUGCAAGUUCAUGCACGCCCACAAGGCGAGAGGAAAACGCCGCAGGGCACACGUCAGGCUACAGACUUUCACGGAGGUUACGAAGAACAAAAGAAACUGCCUCAACGAGUCCGUUCUCCACUCUACUGUCCACGAGUCCAACACAUAUAGUGCAACGAAGAAUAAACGCUGAACGGCUCACGACCGUUCGUGAGAAAUGGCUGGCCGGUAGCGGACGCUCGAGUCACCCAGGAUACAAGAUACUCCGUCACAAUACUCGGUCUCGAGGAGGAGGCUGUGGUAGCCGGAACAAAUUAGGAAAGAAACUUCAGGUUGAAUGAUGAUUUAUUUCACUUCGAGACGCGCACAGCGUAGCAGACGAGCAUGCGAGCCGCGAAACGGCAAGCGGACCUAACGUCUACGUUGCGAAACAAAUUGUCACGUGUGAGAAAAAAAGAAAGAAAUUGCAAAUAAAAAAUUGUAACGCCACCUGUCGUACGCAAAUAAACUAAUCUCUUU